GUAAAGGCUUCUUUGUUGCAUUUGGUUAAUCUAAAAAAUGAUAACCUCUUUACGCUAGAUACGUAUCUCUGGUCUGACUGACAUGCUAGCUGCCGCAGAUUUACAGCUAAUAUGUUAAGGUAAUUUCUCAGGACAGUUCAUGCAAUUCAUAGGGUACCUUUUUGAUCAGAUUGAUCUAAAUAUUUAAUAGUCAUAACCUUCUGCUUGGUUUUGCUCCUCGGUUUCAAAGAAUAAUGAAGUGGCAUGACCUAGCGGGAACAGCAUAGUCACGAGAGCAAUGAGCUUUAUAUUUUCCCAACAAAUAUUUAUUGAGGGGCUGUGAGUAUAGCCCUGGCUUUAUUUAGUCAUGUUUCUCACUUUGCUGUUACCGAUGUCGGUUUCUACGUACACAUAAUUGAGAAAGGAAUGGAUUUUUGCCUGUUUAAAGAAAGUUGCUGUAGAGACAAACGAUGAAGACUUUUUGAUUGUCUGUCUUUCCCCUGUUCCAAUCAUGGUCGCUAUUGAGAAUCACUGCUGAUCAUCUGUCUGUACAGUUCUUAGCAUGGUUCCUGGUGCUAGGUGAGGGCCCACCACCCAUUUAAUUUCUGGUGGGUCUGGGGCAGGCAUCUGACACCCCACUUAUGAGGUUGAAGUCCACAUCCCCAGCAAGUCAUAUGUGUCCUACAAAAAAUAUGCUGGGCUACUCUGCAAGUGAGUACAAUUUCAGUGUGAAUUUCUUUUCAGUAAUUAGGAACUCAGUCCCAAGUAAAACUUUAAAGAGGCCAAGAAAAAGAGAAACGGAAAGUGAGGAGACACGAGUUUUGGAUGUGAGGAAUAAUCCUAGUCUAUCACGUGUGCUGUGCAUCCCUGGUACUGCAGAAGGUAUUUUAUGGCAGGAAAGAUCCUAAGAGUUAAUGCUGAAUUCCUAUGUGACAGAAGAGAAACAAUGGAGAUAAUUCAGAGCCUUGUCAUCAAGCUAACAAGGAGCUUCCAGAAAAUGCCGUGUGUGCACAUCUCCUGCAGCGGCUCCUCACUUUUCCCACGUCACUGACAUUUUGGGAGGAUCCGAUAAAGCUUAUGAAGCCUCUGCCCAAACAAGUGGCAUGUAUACCAUGGGGGCUCAUGGGCCACUUGGAGCUCAACUACGAAUCCACGAGUGGUUUAUGGCCCUCAGGUUAGAAAUUCUCUCCUCUUUGGAAUUUCUUUCACUGAAAGUGGAUGCA
This 1202-nucleotide long non-coding RNA is filed under the name Homo sapiens (human). Its description in RNAcentral is "HSALNT0375168". The record is from RNAcentral. Lineage: Eukaryota; Metazoa; Chordata; Mammalia; Primates; Hominidae.